Molecule: ribosomal RNA, 497 nt
Filed under: uncultured Glomeromycotina
Lineage: Eukaryota; Fungi; Glomeromycota
Description: SSU rRNA
Rfam family: Eukaryotic small subunit ribosomal RNA
Source: RNAcentral
CCAAUAGCGUAUAUUAAAGUUGUUGCAGUUAAAAAGCUCGUAGUUGAAUUUCGGGAUCAAAUUGUUGGUCGUGCUUCGGUACGCACUGGCAUUAUUGGUUUCUACCUUCUGAAGAACCGCGAUGUCAUUAAUUUGGUGUCGUGGGGAAUCAGGACUGUUACUUUGAAAAAAUUAGAGUGUUUAAAGCAGGCUUACGCUUGAAUACAUUAGCAUGGAAUAAUGAAAUAGGACGUUUGAUUCUAUUUUGUUGGUUUCUAGGAUCGACGUAAUGAUUAAUAGGGAUAGUUGGGGGCAUUAGUAUUCAAUUGUCAGAGGUGAAAUUCUUGGAUUUAUUGAAGACUAACUACUGCGAAAGCAUUUGCCAAGGAUGUUUUCAUUAAUCAAGAACGAAAGUUAGGGGAUCGAAGACGAUCAGAUACCGUCGUAGUCUUAACCAUAAACUAUGCCGACUAGGGAUCGGAUGAUGUUAUUUUUAAUGACUCAUUCGGCGCCUUACG